This is a non-coding RNA of Manis javanica (Malayan pangolin), 288 nucleotides long. Lineage: Eukaryota; Metazoa; Chordata; Mammalia; Pholidota; Manidae. The record is from RefSeq and is a predicted model, not a curated record.
CAUCUCUAGAGGCUUACAGAAUACCUGAUCUACAGGUCUGGAUCACGACAGCUGAAGAAAUAUAGUUUGUGGGAAGUAACAUCAUCAAGAUGGUGACACAGGGUGUUCCUGACUUCACUCCCCAUCACAAGAAGAACAAGACACUCCUGACAGAAUCCUAGAACACAGUGGUGAAGCUGACACACCCACGCCCCACCGCAGCACAGAGACCAUGACAGACCGCAUCACACAGAUUCCUCCAACAGCAGCUAACCCAGAUGAACCAAGUCACCACCAACCAGAUGUUAC